UAGAGUUUGAUCAUGGCUCAGAUUGAACGCUGGCGGCAGGCCUAACACAUGCAAGUCGAGCGGUAGAGAGAAGCUUGCUUCUCUUGAGAGCGGCGGACGGGUGAGUAAUGCCUAGGAAUCUGCCUGGUAGUGGGGGAUAACGUUCGGAAACGGACGCUAAUACCGCAUACGUCCUACGGGAGAAAGCAGGGGACCUUCGGGCCUUGCGCUAUCAGAUGAGCCUAGGUCGGAUUAGCUAGUUGGUGGGGUAAUGGCUCACCAAGGCGACGAUCCGUAACUGGUCUGAGAGGAUGAUCAGUCACACUGGAACUGAGACACGGUCCAGACUCCUACGGGAGGCAGCAGUGGGGAAUAUUGGACAAUGGGCGAAAGCCUGAUCCAGCCAUGCCGCGUGUGUGAAGAAGGUCUUCGGAUUGUAAAGCACUUUAAGUUGGGAGGAAGGGUUGUAGAUUAAUACUCUGCAAUUUUGACGUUACCGACAGAAUAAGCACCGGCUAACUCUGUGCCAGCAGCCGCGGUAAUACAGAGGGUGCAAGCGUUAAUCGGAAUUACUGGGCGUAAAGCGCGCGUAGGUGGUUUGUUAAGUUGGAUGUGAAAUCCCCGGGCUCAACCUGGGAACUGCAUUCAAAACUGACUGACUAGAGUAUGGUAGAGGGUGGUGGAAUUUCCUGUGUAGCGGUGAAAUGCGUAGAUAUAGGAAGGAACACCAGUGGCGAAGGCGACCACCUGGACUAAUACUGACACUGAGG
RNAcentral lists this ribosomal RNA (749 nucleotides) under uncultured bacterium. RNAcentral describes it as "bacterial SSU rRNA". It matches the Rfam family "Bacterial small subunit ribosomal RNA", at positions 1 to 751 of the family's 1533-position model. The record is from RNAcentral.